AGCGUACACGGUGGAUGCCCUGGCAGUCAGAGGCGAUGAAGGACGUGCUAAUCUGCGAAAAGCGUCGGUAAGGUGAUAUGAACCGUUACAGCCGGCGAUGUCCGAAUGGGGAAACCCAGUGNCACUAUCGUUAACUGAAUACAUAGGUUAACGAGGCGAACCGGGGGAACUGAAACAUCUAAGUACCCCGAGGAAAAGAAAUCAACCGAGAUUCCCCCAGUAGCGGCGAGCGAACGGGGAGCAGCCCAGAGUCUGAAUCAGCUUGUGUGUUAGUGGAACGGUCUGGAAAGUCCGACGGUACAGGGUGAUAGUCCCGUACACCAAAAUGCACAGGCUGUGAACUCGAAGAGUAGGGCGGGACACGUGGUAUCCUGUCUGAAUAUGGGGGGACCAUCCUCCAAGGCUAAAUACUCCUGACUGACCGAUAGUGAACCAGUACCGUGAGGGAAAGGCGAAAAGAACCCCGGCGAGGGGAGUGAAAAAGAACCUGAAACCGUGUACGUACAAGCAGUGGGAGCACCUUCGGGUGUGACUGCGUACCUUUUGUAUAAUGGGUCAGCGACUUAUAUUCUGUAGCAAGGUUAACCGUAUAGGGGAGCCGCAGGGAAACCGAGUCUUAACUGGGCGUUAAGUUGCAGGGUAUAGACCCGAAACCCGGUGAUCUAGCCAUGGGCAGGUUGAAGGUUGGGUAACACUAACUGGAGGACCGAACCGACUAAUGUUGAAAAAUUAGCGGAUGACUUGUGGCUGGGGGUGAAAGGCCAAUCAAACCGGGAGAUAGCUGGUUCUCCCCGAAAGCUAUUUAGGUAGCGCCUCGUGAACUCAUCUUCGGGGGUAGAGCACUGUUUCGGCUAGGGGGUCAUCCCGACUUACCAACCCGAUGCAAACUACGAAUACCGAAGAAUGUUAUCACGGGAGACACACGGCGGGUGCUAACGUCCGUCGUGAAGAGGGAAACAACCCAGACCGCCAGCUAAGGUCCCAAAGUCAUGGUUAAGUGGGAAACGAUGUGGGAAGGCACAGACAGCCAGGAUGUUGGCUUAGAAGCAGCCAUCAUUUAAAGAAAGCGUAAUAGCUCACUGGUCGAGUCGGCCUGCGCGGAAGAUGUAACGGGGCUAAACCAUGCACCGAAGCUGCGGCAGCGACACUAUGUGUUGUUGGGUAGGGGAGCGUUCUGUAAGCCUGCGAAGGUGUGCUGUGAGGCAUGCUGGAGGUAUCAGAAGUGCGAAUGCUGACAUAAGUAACGAUAAAGCGGGUGAAAAGCCCGCUCGCCGGAAGACCAAGGGUUCCUGUCCAACGUUAAUCGGGGCAGGGUGAGUCGACCCCUAAGGCGAGGCCGAAAGGCGUAGUCGAUGGGAAACAGGUUAAUAUUCCUGUACUUGGUGUUACUGCGAAGGGGGGACGGAGAAGGCUAUGUUAGCCGGGCGACGGUUGUCCCGGUUUAAGCAUGUAGGCUGAUUGUCCAGGCAAAUCCGGAUAAUCAAGGCUGAGGUGUGAUGACGAGGCACUACGGUGCUGAAGUAACAAAUGCCCUGCUUCCAGGAAAAGCCUCUAAGCAUCAGGUAACAUCAAAUCGUACCCCAAACCGACACAGGUGGUCAGGUAGAGAAUACCAAGGCGCUUGAGAGAACUCGGGUGAAGGAACUAGGCAAAAUGGUGCCGUAACUUCGGGAGAAGGCACGCUGGUGUGUAGGUGAAGUCCCUGCGGAUGGAGCUGAGACCAGUCGAAGAUACCAGCUGGCUGCAACUGUUUAUUAAAAACACAGCACUGUGCAAACACGAAAGUGGACGUAUACGGUGUGACGCCUGCCCGGUGCCGGAAGGUUAAUUGAUGGGGUUAUCCGUAAGGAGAAGCUCUUGAUCGAAGCCCCGGUAAACGGCGGCCGUAACUAUAACGGUCCUAAGGUAGCGAAAUUCCUUGUCGGGUAAGUUCCGACCUGCACGAAUGGCGUAAUGAUGGCCAGGCUGUCUCCACCCGAGACUCAGUGAAAUUGAACUCGCUGUGAAGAUGCAGUGUACCCGCGGCAAGACGGAAAGACCCCGUGAACCUUUACUAUAGCUUGACACUGAACAUUGAGCCUUGAUGUGUAGGAUAGGUGGGAGGCUUUGAAGCGUGGACGCCAGUCUGCGUGGAGCCAACCUUGAAAUACCACCCUUUAAUGUUUGAUGUUCUAACGUUGGCCCCUGACCGGGGUUGCGGACAGUGUCUGGUGGGUAGUUUGACUGGGGCGGUCUCCUCCCAAAGCGUAACGGAGGAGCACGAAGGUUAGCUAAUCCUGGUCGGACAUCAGGAGGUUAGUGCAAUGGCAUAAGCUAGCUUGACUGCGAGCGUGACGGCGCGAGCAGGUGCGAAAGCAGGUCAUAGUGAUCCGGUGGUUCUGAAUGGAAGGGCCAUCGCUCAACGGAUAAAAGGUACUCCGGGGAUAACAGGCUGAUACCGCCCAAGAGUUCAUAUCGACGGCGGUGUUUGGCACCUCGAUGUCGGCUCAUCACAUCCUGGGGCUGAAGUAGGUCCCAAGGGUAUGGCUGUUCGCCAUUUAAAGUGGUACGCGAGCUGGGUUUAGAACGUCGUGAGACAGUUCGGUCCCUAUCUGCCGUGGGCGCUGGAGAAUUGAGGGGGGCUGCUCCUAGUACGAGAGGACCGGAGUGGACGCAUCACUGGUGUUCGGGUUGUCAUGCCAAUGGCACUGCCCGGUAGCUAAAUGCGGAAGAGAUAAGUGCUGAAAGCAUCUAAGCACGAAACUUGCCCCGAGAUGAGUUCU
This 2762-nucleotide ribosomal RNA is filed under the name Klebsiella pneumoniae. RNAcentral's name for it is "bacterial LSU rRNA". It matches the Rfam family "Bacterial large subunit ribosomal RNA". Lineage: Bacteria; Pseudomonadati; Pseudomonadota; Gammaproteobacteria; Enterobacterales; Enterobacteriaceae. The record is from RNAcentral.